AUCCAAGUAGUUUAAUUGAGAACGAUAAUCUGUGGAGUUAUAAGUAUAAUUUUAUCUUGGGUU
RNAcentral lists this transfer RNA (63 nucleotides) under Nabicula flavomarginata. RNAcentral's name for it is "tRNA-His". Lineage: Eukaryota; Metazoa; Arthropoda; Insecta; Hemiptera; Nabidae. The record is from RNAcentral.